GAUGAACGCUGACAGAAUGCUUAACACAUGCAAGUCCACUUGAACUUCGGUUUGGGUGGCGGACGGGUGAGUAACGCGUAAAGAACUUGCCUCACAGAUAGGGACAACAUUUGGAAACGAAUGCUAAUACCUGAUAUUAUGAUUAUAUGGCAUCGUAUAAUUAUGAAAGCUAUAUGCGCUGUGAGAGAGCUUUGCGUCCCAUUAGCUAGUUGGAGGGGUAACGGCUCACCAAGGCGAUGAUGGGUAGCCGGCCUGAGAGGGUGAUCGGCCACAAGGGGACUGAGACACGGCCCUUACUCCUACGGGAGGCAGCAGUGGGGAAUAUUGGACAAUGGACCAAGAGUCUGAUCCAGCAAUUCUGUGUGCACGAUGAAGUUUUUCGGAAUGUAAAGUGCUUUCAGUUGGGAAGAAAAAAAUGACGGUACCAACAGAAGAAGUGACGGCUAAAUACGUG
This 454-nucleotide ribosomal RNA is filed under the name uncultured bacterium. RNAcentral describes it as "partial 16S ribosomal RNA". It matches the Rfam family "Bacterial small subunit ribosomal RNA", at positions 28 to 507 of the family's 1533-position model. The record is from RNAcentral.